Molecule: ribosomal RNA, 492 nt
Filed under: uncultured bacterium
Lineage: Bacteria
Description: bacterial SSU rRNA
Rfam family: Bacterial small subunit ribosomal RNA
Source: RNAcentral
CCGAUAUCGACGAGUUUGAUCCUGGCUCAGGACGAACGCUGGCGGCGUGCCUAACACAUGCAAGUCGAGGGUUUUAGUAGUAAUACGAAGAACACUGGCGCACGGGUGAGUAACGCGUAGAUCAUCUGCCCCUAACACUGACAUAACAGUUCUAACGGACUGCUAAUAUCAGAUGUGAUAAGCAAUUAUUAAAGGGUAACCGGUUAGGGAUGAGUCUGCGUCUGAUUAGGUAGUUGGUGAGGUAACGGCUCACCAAGCCUACGAUCAGUAACUGGUCUGAGAGGACGAACAGUCACACUGGAACUGAGACACGGUCCAGACUCCUACGGGAGGCAGCAGUGAGGAAUAUUGCACAAUGGGAGAAAUCCUGAUGCAGCGACGCCGCGUGUGGGAAGAAGGAGCUUAGCUUCGUAAACCACUGUCGGAGGGGACGAAUGGUAGGUUAGACCUACUGAGACGGUACCCUCAAAGGAAGGAUCGGCUAACUACGUG